Molecule: ribosomal RNA, 460 nt
Filed under: uncultured bacterium
Lineage: Bacteria
Description: bacterial SSU rRNA
Rfam family: Bacterial small subunit ribosomal RNA
Source: RNAcentral
AAUGAACGUUGGCGGCGUGGAUUAGGCAUGCAAGUCGAGCGAGAACCUUUUUACGGAAGCUUCGGCCGAAGUAUUAAGGGGACAGCGGCAAACGGGGUAGUAAUGCGUCGGAAUGUGCCCUCAGGUCGGGGAUAGCCGUGGGAAACUGCGGGUAAUACCCGAUAAUCUCGAGAGAGCAAAGGUCCGCCGUCUGAGGAGCGGCCGACGUGGUACCAGGUUGUUGGUGAGGUAACGGCUCACCAAGCCUAAGACGCCUAGGGGGUGUGAGAGCAUGGCCCCCACCACUGGGACUGAGACACUGCCCAGACACCUACGGGUGGCUGCAGUCGAGAAUCUUCGGCAAUGGGCGCAAGCCUGACCGAGCGACGCCGCGUGCGGGAUGACGGCCCUUGGGUUGUAAACCGCUGUCAGAGGGGAGAAAGCUUCGGCUUGACCGAGCCUCAGAGGAAGCACGGGCUAA